GCUUUAAUUAACCGACCCAAAGAGACCCCGCUAACCAACCGACAGGAACAACAAAUCUCUACAUGGGCCGACAAUUUAGGUUGGGGUGACCUCGGAGAAUAAAACAACCUCCGAAUGAUUUAAAUCUAGACUAACCAGUCAAAAGUAUUACAUCACUUAUUGAUCCAAAAACUUGAUCAACGGAACAAGUUACC
This 194-nucleotide ribosomal RNA is filed under the name Leopardus tigrinus (little spotted cat). RNAcentral describes it as "partial 16S ribosomal RNA". The record is from RNAcentral. Lineage: Eukaryota; Metazoa; Chordata; Mammalia; Carnivora; Felidae.